This 450-nucleotide ribosomal RNA is filed under the name uncultured bacterium. RNAcentral describes it as "partial 16S ribosomal RNA". It matches the Rfam family "Bacterial small subunit ribosomal RNA", at positions 354 to 796 of the family's 1533-position model. The record is from RNAcentral.
GUGGGGAAUCUUCCGCAAUGGACGAAAGUCUGACGGAGCAACGCCGCGUGAGUGAAGAAGGUUUUCGGAUCGUAAAGCUCUUUCGUUAGGGACGAACGUGCUCUUUGUGAAUAAUGAGGAGUAAUGACGGUACCUAAAUAAGAAGCCACGGCUAACUACGUGCCAGCAGCCGCGGUAAUACGUAGGUGGCAGGCGUUGUCCGGAAUUAUUGGGCGUAAAGCGCGCGCAGGCGGGAUAUCAAGUCUGUCUUAAAAGUGCGAGGCUCAACCUCGUGAGGGGACAGAAACUGGUAUGCUUGAGUGUCGGAGAGGAAAGUGAAAUUCCAAGUGUAGCGGUGAAAUGCGUAGAGAUUUGGAAGAACCCCAGUGGCGAAGGCGACUUUCUGGACGAUGUCUGACGCUGAGGCGCGAAAGCUAGGGGAGCGAACGGGAUUAGAAACCCGAGUAGUCC